AUUGAACGCUGGCGGCAGGCUUAACACAUGCAAGUCGAGCGGGCGAGGUUGCUUCGGUAACUUAGCUAGCGGCGGACGGGUGAGUAAUGCUUAGGAAUCUGCCUAUUAGUGGGGGACAACAUUCCGAAAGGGAUGCUAAUACCGCAUACGUCCUACGGGAGAAAGCAGGGGAUCACUUGUGACCUUGCGCUAAUAGAUGAGCCUAAGUCGGAUUAGCUAGUUGGUGGGGUAAAGGCCUACCAAGGCGACGAUCUGUAGCGGGUCUGAGAGGAUGAUCCGCCACACUGGGACUGAGACACGGCCCAGACUCCUACGGGAGGCAGCAGUGGGGAAUAUUGGACAAUGGGGGGAACCCUGAUCCAGCCAUGCCGCGUGUGUGAAGAAGGCCUUUUGGUUGUAAAGCACUUUAAGUGGGGAGGAGGCUUACCUGGUUAAUACCUGGGCUAAGUGGACGUUACCCACAGAAUAAGCACCGGCUAACUCUGUGCCAGCCGCCGCAGUAA
Molecule: ribosomal RNA, 503 nt
Filed under: uncultured bacterium
Lineage: Bacteria
Description: partial 16S ribosomal RNA
Rfam family: Bacterial small subunit ribosomal RNA
Source: RNAcentral